This 71-nucleotide transfer RNA is filed under the name Rhizobium phage RHph_TM16. It matches the Rfam family "tRNA". From Rfam's summary of the family: Transfer RNA (tRNA) molecules are approximately 80 nucleotides in length. Their secondary structure includes four short double-helical elements and three loops (D, anti-codon, and T loops). Further hydrogen bonds mediate the characteristic L-shaped molecular structure. tRNAs have two regions of fundamental functional importance: the anti-codon, which is responsible for specific mRNA codon recognition, and the 3' end, to which the tRNAs corresponding amino acid is attached (by aminoacyl-tRNA synthetases). tRNAs cope with the degeneracy of the genetic code in two manners: having more than one tRNA (with a specific anti-codon) for a particular amino acid; and 'wobble' base-pairing, i.e. permitting non-standard base-pairing at the 3rd anti-codon position. Lineage: Duplodnaviria; Heunggongvirae; Uroviricota; Caudoviricetes. The record is from Rfam by way of RNAcentral.
UCGAUAUUAGCUCAAAGGUAGAGCAAUCGACUUGUAAUCGAUCGUUGGGGGUUCAAUUCCCUCAUAUCAAA